UACGAGGGGUGCAAGCGUUAAUCGGAUUUAUUGGGCGUAAAGGGCGCGUAGGUGGAGAUAGAAGUCAGGUGUGAAAGCCCGAAGCUCAACUUCGGAAUAGCACCUGAAACUCUAUCACUUGAGGGUAGACGGAGAAAACGGAAUUCCACAUGUAGCGGUGAAAUGCGUAGAUAUGUGGAAGAACACCUGUAGCGAAAGCGGUUUUCUAGUUUAUACCUGACGCUGAGGCGCGAAAGCUAGGGGAGCAAACAGG
RNAcentral lists this ribosomal RNA (253 nucleotides) under uncultured prokaryote. Its description in RNAcentral is "partial 16S ribosomal RNA". It matches the Rfam family "Bacterial small subunit ribosomal RNA", at positions 524 to 776 of the family's 1533-position model. The record is from RNAcentral.